This 83-nucleotide transfer RNA is filed under the name Chloroflexota bacterium. Its description in RNAcentral is "Chloroflexi bacterium (marine sediment metagenome) tRNA-Tyr". It matches the Rfam family "tRNA". Rfam says of the family: Transfer RNA (tRNA) molecules are approximately 80 nucleotides in length. Their secondary structure includes four short double-helical elements and three loops (D, anti-codon, and T loops). RNAcentral also lists the same sequence under 2 other names. The record is from RNAcentral. Lineage: Bacteria; Bacillati; Chloroflexota.
GGGCAGGUACCCAAGUGGCCAAAGGGGACUGACUGUAAAUCAGUUGGCAUACGCCUUCGGGGGUUCGAAUCCUCCCCUGCCCA